Molecule: long non-coding RNA, 838 nt
Organism: Salvia splendens (bonfire salvia)
Lineage: Eukaryota; Viridiplantae; Streptophyta; Magnoliopsida; Lamiales; Lamiaceae
Exons: 5
Source: RefSeq, a predicted model, not a curated record
AGAAGGAUCUGUUUCUCAACAUGUUCAUUUGGUUCAUAGAGUAGGACUAUUAGAAACUGUCAGAUGACAAAGUGUCCACAGUUAGCAAGGACUUAUGUUCACUGUUAAGUCAUGCAAAGUCUUAGUUCCAGGAUUUUUGAAUGAAGAUGAUGUACAACUGCUGAGGUUAUUUGUAAGUUAGUUUGAGUGCCGAAUCGUUCGUGCUGCAUCGGAAGAUCAUUUAGUCCGUGUAAAACCUCUCUAGCUUAACCUAUGGAUGUCAUUCAUCUUUUUCCAUAAAAUGAGCUUGGGAACAGGUGGACUGCAGGAGCAACUAGCUUCCUAUAUUGAACUCCCGGCCCUGAUGAAAAAAAGAGUAGGGAAUAAGCUUCAUAAAAAGGAAUUUUAAGGCCAGAAAAGGAAGGUAAGACUGAUCUUGUAAAGAUGACAGGGAAGAUGGCAGUAUAUAUUUAAAGAAAACAAUUUAAUCGAUCUAUCAAAAUUGAAUGUUGGAAAGUUUCGAAGAUGAUCUAAAUUGACAGAGUAUUAUGUCUUUUGUUCUGAUAAAGAUAUACUGGUAGAGGUUUGCUUUCAGCAUUUUAGUAUGUGAGAAGGUACCAGGUUUCCAGCCGGUAGGAAAUCCGAGCUUUUAUUGUAGUCAUCAAAUCUUGGUCUUUGAGGAUUCUGGUAACUCUACUUCUCAUCUUUUUCGGGUGUCAUUCAAACUCGUAUAAUAUAUUCAACUUGUGAUGUUUCCUACUUAUACAUGAGUGCCUAACUGCUAUUUAUUCUUAUACAUGCCUGAUAUGUUGAUAUUAUAGAGAAUUUAAAUGUUUUUUUUUGUAAUUGAUGUUGAUUU